RNAcentral lists this ribosomal RNA (1556 nucleotides) under Escherichia coli. RNAcentral's name for it is "bacterial SSU rRNA". It matches the Rfam family "Bacterial small subunit ribosomal RNA". The record is from RNAcentral. Lineage: Bacteria; Pseudomonadati; Pseudomonadota; Gammaproteobacteria; Enterobacterales; Enterobacteriaceae.
UUAAAUUGAAGAGUUUGAUCAUGGCUCAGAUUGAACGCUGGCGGCAGGCCUAACACAUGCAAGUCGAACGGUAACAGGAAACAGCUUGCUGUUUCGCUGACGAGUGGCGGACGGGUGAGUAAUGUCUGGGAAACUGCCCGAUGGAGGGGGAUAACUACUGGAAACGGUAGCUAAUACCGCAUAACGUCGCAAGACCAAAGAGGGGGACCUUCGGGCCUCUUGCCAUCGGAUGUGCUCAGAUGGGAUUAGCUAGUAGGUGGGGUAACGGCUCACCUAGGCGACGAUCCCUAGCUGGUCUGAGAGGAUGACCAGCCACACUGGAACUGAGACACGGUCCAGACUCCUACGGGAGGCAGCAGUGGGGAAUAUUGCACAAUGGGCGCAAGCCUGAUGCAGCCAUGCCGCGUGUAUGAAGAAGGCCUUCGGGUUGUAAAGUACUUUCAGCGGGGAGGAAGGGAGUAAAGUUAAUACCUUUGCUCAUUGACGUUACCCGCAGAAGAAGCACCGGCUAACUCCGUGCCAGCAGCCGCGGUAAUACGGAGGGUGCAAGCGUUAAUCGGAAUUACUGGGCGUAAAGCGCACGCAGGCGGUUUGUUAAGUCAGAUGUGAAAUCCCCGGGCUCAACCUGGGAACUGCAUCUGAUACUGGCAAGCUUGAGUCUCGUAGAGGGGGGUAGAAUUCCAGGUGUAGCGGUGAAAUGCGUAGAGAUCUGGAGGAAUACCGGUGGCGAAGGCGGCCCCCUGGACGAAGACUGACGCUCAGGUGCGAAAGCGUGGGGAGCAAACAGGAUUAGAUACCCUGGUAGUCCACGCCGUAAACGAUGUCGACUUGGAGGUUGUGCCCUUGAGGCGUGGCUUCCGGAGCUAACGCGUUAAGUCGACCGCCUGGGGAGUACGGCCGCAAGGUUAAAACUCAAAUGAAUUGACGGGGGCCCGCACAAGCGGUGGAGCAUGUGGUUUAAUUCGAUGCAACGCGAAGAACCUUACCUGGUCUUGACAUCCACGGAAGUUUUCAGAGAUGAGAAUGUGCCUUCGGGAACCGUGAGACAGGUGCUGCAUGGCUGUCGUCAGCUCGUGUUGUGAAAUGUUGGGUUAAGUCCCGCAACGAGCGCAACCCUUAUCCUUUGUUGCCAGCGGUCCGGCCGGGAACUCAAAGGAGACUGCCAGUGAUAAACUGGAGGAAGGUGGGGAUGACGUCAAGUCAUCAUGGCCCUUACGACCAGGGCUACACACGUGCUACAAUGGCGCAUACAAAGAGAAGCGACCUCGCGAGAGCAAGCGGACCUCAUAAAGUGCGUCGUAGUCCGGAUUGGAGUCUGCAACUCGACUCCAUGAAGUCGGAAUCGCUAGUAAUCGUGGAUCAGAAUGCCACGGUGAAUACGUUCCCGGGCCUUGUACACACCGCCCGUCACACCAUGGGAGUGGGUUGCAAAAGAAGUAGGUAGCUUAACCUUCGGGAGGGCGCUUACCACUUUGUGAUUCAUGACUGGGGUGAAGUCGUAACAAGGUAACCGUAGGGGAACCUGCGGUUGGAUCACCUCCUUACCUUAAAGAAGC